UACGUAGGUGGCAAGCGUUGUCCGGAUUUACUGGGCGUAAAGAGCGCGCAGGCGGUCGUUCAAGUCGCGUGUGAAAGCCCACGGCUCAACCGUGGAGGGUCAUUGGAAACUGGGGAACUUGAGUGCAGAAGAGGAGAGUGGAAUUCCACGUGUAGCGGUGAAAUGCGUAGAGAUGUGGAGGAACACCAGUGGCGAAGGCGACUCUCUGGUCUGUAACUGACGCUGAGGAGCGAAAGCGUGGGGAGCAAACAGG
RNAcentral lists this ribosomal RNA (253 nucleotides) under uncultured bacterium. RNAcentral's name for it is "partial 16S ribosomal RNA". It matches the Rfam family "Bacterial small subunit ribosomal RNA", at positions 524 to 776 of the family's 1533-position model. The record is from RNAcentral.